RNAcentral lists this long non-coding RNA (221 nucleotides) under Lathyrus oleraceus (garden pea). Its description in RNAcentral is "Pisum sativum (pea) long non-coding RNA (PSAT_LNC004292)". The record is from RNAcentral. Lineage: Eukaryota; Viridiplantae; Streptophyta; Magnoliopsida; Fabales; Fabaceae.
UAAAUCAGCGAAGUCAAAGGUUCUACAGAAACCACAACAUAAGACUCUAAAGUCAAAGGUUAUGAAGAAGCCAAAACCUAAGAUAACAGGAGCUAAGGUUUUAAAUGAAUCAGAACCUAAGGUCAACAUUCAUUUAGGACAACAAAAUUUCAAAUAAAAAGUAUUAAAUAAUCCUAAACAUUAUCAAAUAAAAGAAAAGGUACAAAACAAGAAGAAACCUG